CAUCCCUCAUCGGUGCGCUGUACGCCGCUAGUCGGAAAACUCAAUGUACAAAUGCCCCUCAGCACAGCGAGCUCAUGCCACGGCGAUAGUCACUUGUAACACUUGAAAUAAAGGAGUGUCACUUUUGACGGAUAUCUAUGACUCCGGAACACAUGGAAUUGAACGGAGAUGCUGACACAAACAGAGAAGAGGUUCCUCUGGCCAGGCGUAGGGGGCACAGGAGAGAGCCACUGAACAUGAACCACUAUGCCAGUAAGAAGAGUGCUGCAGAGAGCAUGCUGGAUGUGGCUCUGCUCAUGGCCAAUGCCUCCCAACUGAAGGCUGUGCUGGAGCAGGGCUCUGAAUUAAACCUCUACAUCCCCCUCAUCAUUCUCAUUAGCAUCUCCCUCAUCCUGCAGGUCAUUGUGGGGGUCCUUCUCAUAUUCAUAGUUAAGUGGAAUCUGAACGACCUGAGCAAGCAGUUCCAACUCAAUGUGUUGGAGAAUAUCACCACUGGAAUGAUCUUCGUCAUCGUGGUUGUAAAUGUCUUCAUCACAGCCUUUGGUGUACAGCAGACCCACUAAAAUACCUCGCAACAGGACAGAAAUGAAAAACAUGCUGUCUAGCAGUCACACAGACAUGAAGAAAAACCCAAGGCUGUAUUUUGUCUCAUAAAUAUUGAUGGUGGAGACCCAGAAAACCCUGCAGAGCAUAACCACUAUUAUCAUCAUAUUCCUACCUGAAAGCCAAUGCAGAUAUUGGAAGUGCACGUCUUUCAGUAAUGAGUCAUUAUUUGCGUGGAAAGAUCAGGUUUCACACUGUGCUUGGGGGAGAAAUACAACUUAAACUGAAAACUUGGAGCAAUAGAUUAUUCCAGUAUAAACGUAUUUGAACUUGAAUACACUUGUGUACGGUCAUCUCAUUUCCUUUUUGCUGUAUCUUAAAUGUGGAAAUGGAAACAACUUCCAUUAUCUGUUCUGUCUGUUUCCUGUGUAUUAAACCUUAUACAGUUAUGUUAUACAGUAAUGUUAUAGACCAUGCACACAAAGUUAUAUUUAGGAUUGGUAUAUACCUCAAUCAUAACAACCACUUUUUAAAAUGAGAAUUGUUUUAUAAUAAAGUUUUUUAAAAACUUUCUUGACUUGAAUUGUUGAAUCACUGCCUUCUGCAAUAUUGAAAUGGUGAGUACAAGUUGCCAGAGGGAUGAACAAACAGUGCUGGGACCAAUUCCAUU
This is an RNA transcript of Anguilla rostrata (American eel), 1213 nucleotides long. It is a transcript of the gene named ninjurin-1-like, with no coding region annotated. The record is from RefSeq and is a predicted model, not a curated record. Lineage: Eukaryota; Metazoa; Chordata; Actinopteri; Anguilliformes; Anguillidae. The transcript has 4 exons.